Long non-coding RNA from Apis dorsata (giant honeybee), 452 nucleotides. RefSeq lists it as uncharacterized. NCBI's taxonomy places the organism in Eukaryota, Metazoa, Arthropoda, Insecta, Hymenoptera, Apidae. The transcript is spliced from 2 exons. The record is from RefSeq and is a predicted model, not a curated record.
AUAAACGUUGUUUUACAAGCUGCUGGAAUACCUCAUUCAAAACGACGGUUCCGUAGUCUGCAAGUGGUGCGGCGAAGUGCUACCGUCUCGAACCCGUUGGUACAGGCACAAGUACAAACUCCACGUCUCCACCCAGGUCACCCAGCCGGCGCCACUGUUCAAGUGCCACAGCUGUAACGCUUACUUCAAAUCCCGUAAAGGUUACAUCGGUCAUCUAAGCUCUCGCCAUUCCGACAACGAAAACGACGAGAACAGGGAAGAGCCGGCUAACAAGAAGGCUCGGAAGACCUCUGACAUCGGGAAGGGGCCAGACUGGGAGCAGCAAAGGGAGAAGGAGGAGAAGUUGGUGGCGGACAUAAUCGAUCGGGUGAAAAGGGAGUGCGAGGCUCAGGGUGAAACGGUGACGAGACGAGGCUACUCCAGGCGAUCCACCGUGAUGAACAGCUAAGGAA